This 325-nucleotide ribosomal RNA is filed under the name uncultured eukaryote. Its description in RNAcentral is "partial 18S ribosomal RNA". It matches the Rfam family "Eukaryotic small subunit ribosomal RNA", at positions 1470 to 1796 of the family's 1831-position model. The record is from RNAcentral.
CCCUUAGAUGUUCUGGGCCGCACGCGCGCUACACUGAUGCAUUCAACGAGCCUAUCCUUGACCGACAGGUCCGGGUAAUCUUUGAAUCUGCAUCGUGACGGGGAUAGAUUAUUGCAAUUAUUAAUCUUCUACGAGGAAUGCCUAGUAGGCGCAAGUCAUCAGCUUGCGUCGAUUACGUCCCUGCCCUUUGUACACACCGCCCGUCGCUCCUACCGAUUGGGUGUGGUGGUGAAAUGUUCGGAUCGGCCGUAUGUCGCGGUUUCCGCGUCAUGUGGCUGAGAAGUUCAUUAAACCCUCCCACCUAGAGGAAGGAGAAGUCGUAACA